Molecule: unclassified non-coding RNA, 1264 nt
Filed under: Hevea brasiliensis (rubber tree)
Lineage: Eukaryota; Viridiplantae; Streptophyta; Magnoliopsida; Malpighiales; Euphorbiaceae
Source: RNAcentral
CAAUUGUUCAAUGCCACUUCUGAGUCAUAAACUUUCAAAACAUUAUGAAAGGUAAAGCCUUACAUAAAUAUAACAAUAUAAACAUGCCAUUAGCUAUACUGCAUUUUGCUUUUCUGUCCAUUGAUACAGCUUCAUCUGCUUUACUCCUUUAUUGAAAAACAACUUCCCCCAUUGGGGAAGCAACUUCCUAGUAGUUUCUUGUAUACCUGAAGUAGUGUAAAUGCAUACCACUCUCAUGCUUACUCCAGCCAAGCUAGUUUUCCUGGCAACCAUGAUGACUUUCUGCCCAUUCCGAUCCACAUGCAUAGCAAAACUGGAAACUACACCUGCAAGGUAUACGGAGACAACCUUCCGUUUUUUCCACGAAGAAUUUGCACUGGGGACAUCUCCUCCAUUUCUUAUCCCUAGCAAGUUCCAUCACCAUCAGAUCUUGUCUUCCUCUCUCGUCCUCAUUCAGCCUCUGGUACACCUCACACUCAACCCCAGAAUGCCAAGGUACAUAACAUCGAGCACAAAACAAUCUAUUGCAGAAGGGGCACUCAGCUUCCCUAAUGUCUUCUCCUUCGUUAUCAUUCACCAACAUAGCCGAACAGUCCUUAAAUGGGCAGUAAAAUCUCUGCGAACCGCUGAUUAGCUUUUCGCAGAGCGCCUCCUCCCAAAGAUCAAUCACUCCCUUGUUGAGCUUAUCCCUGCAAUUUUCCAGUUCAAGCACCGCCUUACAAUUCAAUCCAGGACAAGUAAUGACUGUAAUGCUUUCCUGAAUCUUUGUAGCUACAUACUUGCUUAUACAAUCGGAGCAGUAAGAGUGAAGGCAUCUAUCAGUUGUAAACAUGUGGUUACUUUCUUUGCUUUCCACACAAAUAUCGCAGAAACUGUGGGAGGACUGACCACCUUCCUGGUGAUUUGGCUCUGGGGGUGCUUCAAUCAUCAAAUCCGAUGUUGGGUUAUUCUUCUUCAUCUGAGAAAUGAUCACACGACCCAUUAGAGCCUCCUGGAAUUGCAUAUCUUCUGUACAUUUGGCGUCUGAAACUGCAAAGCCUUCCUGGCGCUUUUCAUUAUCGAAGAGCAAAGAGAAGUAGAAAUCAUCGACAAAAUCGAGAUCAGAGACGUAUUCUUUUGCCAUGAUACUGAAUUUACUAUUGCAAUCGAUAAGCUAGCGCUCUCUCGUAAGCUACUCUGAAAUUAAGCCAAACCCACGGUGAUUAUCGUCUAUAAAGUUGAAAAAGCGUAUUGGCCUUGGCUAGAGGUCACUUCGCUUAGAAGG